RNAcentral lists this ribosomal RNA (592 nucleotides) under Ctenophora environmental sample. Its description in RNAcentral is "partial Bacterial large subunit ribosomal RNA". It matches the Rfam family "Bacterial large subunit ribosomal RNA", at positions 774 to 1363 of the family's 2925-position model. The record is from RNAcentral. Lineage: Eukaryota; Metazoa; Ctenophora.
CCGAACCCACACCUGUUGAAAAAGGUCGGGAUGAGCUGUGGCUAGGGGUGAAAGGCCAAUCAAACUCGGAGAUAGCUGGUUCUCUGCGAAAUCUAUUUAGGUAGAGCGUCAUCCGAAUACCCCGGGGGGUAGAGCACUGGAUGGGUAAUGGGGCCCCACAGGCUUACUGAUCCUAACCAAACUCCGAAUACCCGGGAGUACUAGAUGGCAGACACACUGCGGAUGCUAACGUCCGUAGUGGAGAGGGAAACAACCCUGACCUACGACUAAGGCCCCCAAUUCAUGGCUAAGUGGGAAAGCAAGUGGGACGACCAAAACAACCAGGAGGUUGGCUUAGAAGCAGCCAUCCUUUAAAGAAAGCGUAACAGCUCACUGGUCAAGCGCUCCUGCGCGGAAAAUGUAACGGGGCUUAAGUGAUACACCGAAGCUGUGGAUUCAAUCUUAUGAUUGAGUGGUAGCGGAGCGUUCCGUAGGCCGAUGAAGGUGGACCCGCGAGGGCCGCUGGAGGUAUCGGAAGUGAGAAUGCUGACAUGAGUAGCGACAAAGAGGGUGAGAGACCCUCUCGCCGAAAGUCCAAGGGUUCCUGCUUAAA